UUCCCUACGGGGGGCAGCAGUGAGGAAUAUUGGUCAAUGGGCUUACGCCUGAACCAGCCAAGUCGCGUGAGGGAAGACUGCCCUAUGGGUUGUAAACCUCUUUUGUCAGGGAGCAACGCCGGCUACGUGUAGCCGGACUGAGAGUACCUGAAGAAAAAGCAUCGGCUAACUCCGUGCCAGCAGCCGCGGUAAUACGUAGGGAGCAAGCGUUAUCCGGAUUUAUUGGGUGUAAAGGGUGCGUAGACGGGAAAACAAGUUAGUUGUGAAAUCCCUCGGCUUAACUGAGGAACUGCAACUAAAACUAU
RNAcentral lists this ribosomal RNA (305 nucleotides) under uncultured bacterium. RNAcentral describes it as "bacterial SSU rRNA". It matches the Rfam family "Bacterial small subunit ribosomal RNA", at positions 335 to 636 of the family's 1533-position model. The record is from RNAcentral.